CCGCCGCGCCGACGCCCGUGACGUCAGCCGCCCGGCUCCAUUUGAGCGCCUCUCGGCAGCCGAGAACUCGGACUUCCCGUGUGGCUCACAACAUAACUACUCGGCGUUGCUUCUACAGUGGCUGUGGCUCGACCCCUAGCCUGGGAACCUCCAUAUGCCGCAGCCCCGCGGCGGCAGAUGGCACUCGUUCUGCCGCUUUUUCCUGGCUGUGUGCGAUGCCAUCGCAUGGAUGUCCCCGGGCCUUCGAAGUGCACUCACCUGUCAGUGGACCUUUAGGUGGCUUCCAGAUCUUGGCUCUGGUGAGUAGUGCGGCGACAGACAGAGGGGUGCCCGGGUCUGCUUCCGGGAAAGUUUGGUCCCGGUGAAAUGGAGCUGUUUGGAGGCCGGCUUCGGUCUUUGUGUGGGCCGGCCCGUGUAGGGCUGCUUGGCUGAGACUCUGUCGAGGAGGGAGGCCUUCAGCCACCGGGGCCUCACGGGGCCUCCCCGUGCGGCACCAUCACAGAGCUCUCCGUCACUGCCCCUGGUGGGGGUGAGGGAAGGGGCGUGUUUGGGGGGUGG
Molecule: long non-coding RNA, 558 nt
Filed under: Sus scrofa (pig)
Lineage: Eukaryota; Metazoa; Chordata; Mammalia; Artiodactyla; Suidae
Description: lncRNA (ENSSSCG00070005265.1)
Source: RNAcentral